UACGUAGGGGCCUAGCGUUGUCCGGAAUUAUUGGGCGUAAAGAGCUCGUAGGCGGUUCGGCAAGUCGGAUGUGAAACCUCCAGGCUCAACCUGGAGACGCCACCCGAUACUGUCGUGACUAGAGUCCAGUAGGGGAGCGUGGAAUUCCUGGUGUAGCGGUGAAAUGCGCAGAUAUCAGGAGGAACACCAGCGGCGAAGGCGGCGCUCUGGGCUGGAACUGACGCUGAGGAGCGAAAGCGUGGGGAGCGAACAGG
Molecule: ribosomal RNA, 254 nt
Filed under: uncultured bacterium
Lineage: Bacteria
Description: partial 16S ribosomal RNA
Rfam family: Bacterial small subunit ribosomal RNA
Source: RNAcentral